GGUUUGAUUAUGGCUCAGAUUUUCGCUGGAGUGGGAUGCUUUACAACAUGCAAGUCGAACGGCAGCACGGACUUCGGUCUGGUGGUGAGUGGCGAACGGGUGAGUAAUGUAUCGGAAACGCCUUGCAGGGGAUAACUACGCGAAAGCGUAGCUAAUACCGCAUACGCCCUUCGGGGGAAAGCGGGGACCUUUCGGGCCUCGCACUAUUAGGAGCGGCCGAUAUCGGAUUAGCUAGUUGGUGGGGUAACGGCUCACCAAGGCGACGAUCCGCUGGUUUGAGAGGACGACCAGCCACACUGGGACUGAGACACGGCCCAGACUCCUACGGGAGGCAGCAGUGGGGAAUUUUUGGACAAUGUGGGGAAACCUGUCCAGCCAUCCUUCGCAAAGGGAGGGCGAAGGCCUCUCGGGUUGUAAAGCACUUUAUAGGAAAGAACGGGUCGGGAUAAUACCCCGUGCAACUGACGGUGCACUCGCAGAAUAAGCACUCGACACCACGUGCGCCAGCAGCCGCACAUGAAGGGGCGUUAAUCGGAAUUACUGGCGUAGCGUGCGCAGCAGGCGGUUCGGAAAGAAAGAUGUGAAAUCCUGUAUUAACUUUCUUGAACUGCAUUUUUAACUACCGAGUUGAUGCAAAGAGGAGGUGAAUUCAUGCGUAGCAGUGAAAUGCGUAGAUAUGCGGAGGAACACCGAUGGCGAAGGCAGCCUCCUGGGAUAACACUGACGCUCAUGCACGAAAGCGGGGAGCAAACAGGAUUAGAUACUCCUGUAGUCCACGCCCUAAACGAUGUCAACUAGCUGUUGGGGCCUUCGGGCCUGUAGGCAAGCAGCUAUCGUGUGAAGUUGACCGCCUGGGGGAUACGGUCAUAAGAUUAAAAAACUCAAAGGAAUUGACGGGACCAUGCUGCGGAUGAUGUGAUUAAUUCCGAUGCAACGCGAAAAACCUUACCGUCUGACAUGACUGAAUCCCGAAGAGAUUUGGGAGCGGGCCACAAGAGAACCGAACACAGGUUGCAUGGCUGCCGUCAGUCGUGUCGAGAUGUUGGGUUAAGUCCUUGCAACGAGCGCAACCCUUGCCACAGUUGCUACGAAAGGGGCACGACGAGAUCGUCAGUACAAACCGGAGGAAGGUGGGGAUGACGUCAAGUCCUCAUGGCCCAUGGUAGGGUCAUCGUCAUACAAUGGUCGGGACAGAGGGUCGCCAACCCGCGAGGGAGCCAACCCAGAAACCCGAUCGUAGUCCGGAUCGCAGUCUGCAACUGACUGCGUGAAGUCGAAUCGCUAGUGACCGUAUUCGCAUGCCGCGGUGAAUACGUUCGGGUCUUGUACACACCGCCCGUCACAAUCUGCUAUGGGAGUGGGUUUUACCAGAAGUAGUUAGCCUAACCGUAAGGAGGGCGAUUACCACGGUAGGAUUCAUGACUGGGGUGAAGUCGUAAUAAAGGUAG
RNAcentral lists this ribosomal RNA (1448 nucleotides) under uncultured Bordetella sp. Its description in RNAcentral is "partial 16S-23S ribosomal RNA intergenic spacer". It matches the Rfam family "Bacterial small subunit ribosomal RNA". The record is from RNAcentral. Lineage: Bacteria; Pseudomonadati; Pseudomonadota; Betaproteobacteria; Burkholderiales; Alcaligenaceae.